This 1272-nucleotide ribosomal RNA is filed under the name Neobuccinum eatoni. RNAcentral describes it as "16S ribosomal RNA". The stretch from base 886 to 1272 matches the Rfam family "Bacterial large subunit ribosomal RNA", at positions 2048 to 2646 of the family's 2925-position model. The record is from RNAcentral. Lineage: Eukaryota; Metazoa; Mollusca; Gastropoda; Neogastropoda; Buccinidae.
UAAUCAAUAGUCGAGGUAAAAAGUUUAACUUAAAAUUUUUUAAAAACAUUUUUAAACUAAGUUAAGGUGAUUAAAAAUUAUUUAAUUAAUACCCUAAAAUAAGUACUGAAAAGGAAUACUAAUAAAUUAUAUAUAAGAAAAAAUUAAAACUUGUACCUUUUGCAUCAUGGUUUAACUAGAUACUUAUUUUAUAUUAAAUUUCUCGAAAUCUAAUGGGCUAUUUUUAUUCUUUAUUUUAGAAAAUUUAGGACUAAUUGUAGCACAAAUUUUCCUAGAAAUGAAAAUAGAAAUGAAAUUUUAUUCGUAUUAGAUGAUAGCUAGUUCUUUUACAAAAGCAUAUAAGUGCUUUAGAUCAAGUUUUUUUUGUGUAAAAUAAAUACAUAAUAAAUUUUGAUCUAAUUAAAUUUUUGAGGAUAAGCUCGAAAAUUGUUAUUAUAUUUACAUAUCAUUUAAAUUAAAAUUUAAGCUUGAAAAUAGCUAUAAUUUUGACUUUGUUAUAAUUUCAUUAAACUAAUUAAAAAAUAAUUAAUUUGUUACUGUCAAUAAAAGAAAACUUUAAAAUCAACAUAAAGCUGAACUUAUGUUAAAAUGAGUAUUAAUUAAUAUAUAAAUUUCUAACAACAUAAAAAUUAGAAUUAGNUGCUAUUGAUAACUUUCCNCUCNUAACANGGNACUCGGCAAAUAUNUCUUCGCCUGGUUUUUCAAAAACAUGGCUCCUUGUAACCCAGAUAGAUAGGGAGUUGGACCUGCCCAGUGAAAAUUUUUAACGGCCGCGGUACUCUGACCGUGCAAAGGUAGCAUAAUCAUUUGCCUUUUAAUUGAAGGCUAGUAUGAAUGGUUUGACAAGAAUAUAGCUGUCUCUUUGUGAUUGAAUAGAACUUUAUAUAUAGGUGAAGAAGCCUAUAUCUAAUUAAAAGACAAGAAGACCCUAUCGAGCUUUAAAUAAGUUAGUACAUUAAUCCAAUUAAUAACACUAAAAAAUUAGUACUAAAAAUUUUAGUUGGGGCGACCGAGGAACAAACAAAGCUUCCUUUAUCAUUAAAAAAUUUACAAAUAAUGUUCCAAAAUAUUUUGAUCAAAGAAAUUAGUUACCGUAGGGAUAACAGCAUUAUCUUUUUUAAGAGCUCUUAUCGAAAAAAAGGUUUGUGACCUCGAUGUUGGAUCAGAAUAUCCUAAAGAUGCAGCAGUCUUUAAGGGUUAGUCUGUUCGACUAUUAAAAUUCUACGUGAUCUGAGUUCAGACCGGCGUGAGCCAGGUCAGUUUCUAUCUUUA